ACAUGUCUGGAAACCUAGGUUGUUGUUUUUUUCUUUUUCAAAUAAGCCAUCAUCAUAGUGUCCCAUGCCAGAGCAAACUGUGGCCCCGAACCAUUGCCUGGCCUGUGCCCGUAGGCUCCUGGCAAUGAAGCAGGUUGCACAGUG
This 144-nucleotide small nucleolar RNA is filed under the name Microcebus murinus (gray mouse lemur). Its description in RNAcentral is "Small nucleolar RNA SNORA42/SNORA80 family (ENSMICG00000022483.3)". It matches the Rfam family "Small nucleolar RNA SNORA42/SNORA80 family". Rfam says of the family: The members of this family belong to the H/ACA class of snoRNAs that guide the sites of modification of uridines to pseudouridines. Human ACA42 (SNORA42) was cloned from HeLa cells by immunoprecipitation with anti-GAR1 antibody. Its is predicted to guide the pseudouridylation of residues U109 and U572 of 18S rRNA. The record is from Rfam by way of RNAcentral. Lineage: Eukaryota; Metazoa; Chordata; Mammalia; Primates; Cheirogaleidae.